GCCUGGCUGGCUCAGGUAGAGCAGGAGACCGUAGAUCUCAGGGUUGUGAGUUCAAGCCCCACGUUGGGUG
Molecule: transfer RNA, 70 nt
Filed under: Felis catus (domestic cat)
Lineage: Eukaryota; Metazoa; Chordata; Mammalia; Carnivora; Felidae
Also listed under: 3 other names
Rfam family: tRNA
About the family: Transfer RNA (tRNA) molecules are approximately 80 nucleotides in length. Their secondary structure includes four short double-helical elements and three loops (D, anti-codon, and T loops).
Source: Rfam by way of RNAcentral